Molecule: ribosomal RNA, 492 nt
Filed under: uncultured bacterium
Lineage: Bacteria
Description: partial 16S ribosomal RNA
Rfam family: Bacterial small subunit ribosomal RNA
Source: RNAcentral
AGUGAACGCUGGCGGUAGGCCUAACACAUGCAAGUCGAACGGCAGCACAGUAAGAGCUUGCUCUUACGGGUGGCGAGUGGCGGACGGGUGAGGAAUACAUCGGAAUCUACUUUUUCGUGGGGGAUAACGUAGGGAAACUUACGCUAAUACCGCAUACGACCUACGGGUGAAAGCAGGGGAUCUUCGGACCUUGCGCGAUUGAAUGAGCCGAUGUCGGAUUAGCUAGUUGGCGGGGUAAAGGCCCACCAAGGCGACGAUCCGUAGCUGGUCUGAGAGGAUGAUCAGCCACACUGGAACUGAGACACGGUCCCGACGCCUACGGGAGGCAGCAGUGGGGAAUAUUGGACAAUGGGCGCAAGCCUGAUCCAGCCAUACCGCGUGGGUGAAGAAGGCCUUCGGGGUGUAAAGCCCUUUUGUUGGGAAAGAAACGCAGCAGGUUAAUAACACGCUGUUCUGACGGUACCCAAAGAAUAAGCACCGGCUAACUUCGUG